RNAcentral lists this ribosomal RNA (386 nucleotides) under Picochlorum sp. Its description in RNAcentral is "partial small subunit ribosomal RNA". It matches the Rfam family "Eukaryotic small subunit ribosomal RNA", at positions 582 to 975 of the family's 1831-position model. The record is from RNAcentral. Lineage: Eukaryota; Viridiplantae; Chlorophyta; Trebouxiophyceae.
AUUCCAGCUCCAAUAGCGUAUAUUUAAGUUGUUGCAGUUAAAAAGCUCGUAGUUGGAUUUCGGGUGGGAAUGGCCGGUCCGCCAUUUCGGUGUGCACUUGCUACUCCCACCUUGCUGCCGGGGACGUGCUCUUGAGUUUGCGCUCGGGACACGGAGUCGGCGAGGUUACUUUGAGUAAAUUAGAGUGUUCAAAGCAGGCCUACGCUCUGAAUACAUUAGCAUGGAAUAACACGAUAGGACUCUGGCCUAUCUUGUUGGUCUGUAGGACCGGAGUAAUGAUUAAGAGGGACAGUCGGGGGCAUUCGUAUUUCAUUGUCAGAGGUGAAAUUCUUGGAUUUAUGAAAGACGAACUACUGCGAAAGCAUUUGCCAAGGAUGUUUUCAUCA